Molecule: ribosomal RNA, 497 nt
Filed under: uncultured bacterium
Lineage: Bacteria
Description: partial 16S ribosomal RNA
Rfam family: Bacterial small subunit ribosomal RNA
Source: RNAcentral
GAUGAACGCUGGCGGCGUGCCUAAUACAUGCAAGUCGAGCGAACAGACGAGGAGCUUGCUCCUCUGACGUUAGCGGCGGACGGGUGAGUAACACGUGGAUAACCUACCUAUAAGACUGGGAUAACUUCGGGAAACCGGAGCUAAUACCGGAUAAUAUAUUGAACCGCAUGGUUCAAUAGUGAAUGACGGUUUUGAUGUCACUUCUAGAUGGAUCCGCGCCGCAUUAGCAAGUUGGUAAGGUAACGGCUUACCAAGGCAACGAUGCGUGGCCGACCUGAGAGGGUGAUCGGCCACACUGGAACUGAGACACGGUCCAGACUCCUACGGGAGGCAGCAGUAGGGAAUCUUCCGCGAUGGGCGAAAGCUUGACGGAGCAACGCCGCGUGAGUGAUGAAGGUCUUCGGAUCGUAAAACUCUGUUAUUAGGGAAGAACAAAUGUGUAAGUAACUAUGCACGUCUUGACGGUACCUAAUCAGAAAGCCACGGCUAACUACGUG